UGCUUAUCAGAACACCUAGUUAAUCACAAGGUAAACUUGAUAAAAAUCUACCUAAUUUGUUCAUAUUUUCAGUUAUUAACAAUUUCAAAAGAGUCCCAAUUUCUUCAGUACAAGACAGUGGAUCAGGUUGGGAAAGAGAGAGGGAACAUAAGGCCAAUCAUCACUACAAAGGCAACCAACAUGGUGGUGGAGAGAAGUGGAGUGGGC
Molecule: long non-coding RNA, 207 nt
Filed under: Panax ginseng (ginseng)
Lineage: Eukaryota; Viridiplantae; Streptophyta; Magnoliopsida; Apiales; Araliaceae
Description: long non-coding RNA (PGIN_LNC006925)
Source: RNAcentral